Molecule: ribosomal RNA, 915 nt
Filed under: uncultured marine archaeon
Lineage: Archaea
Description: bacterial SSU rRNA
Rfam family: Archaeal small subunit ribosomal RNA
Source: RNAcentral
UUCCGGUUGAUCCUGCCGGAGGCUACCGCUAUUGGAGUUCGAUUAAGCCAUGCGAGUCGAGAGUCUUAGGGACUCGGCGCACCGCUCAGUAACACGUGGGUAACCUGCCCUAUGCUGGGGGAUAACCUCGGGAAACUGAGAAUAAUACCCCAUAGUUCACCACGCCUGGAACGGUGGGUGGACCAAAGCUCCGGCGGCAUAGGAUGGGCCUGCGACGUAUCAGGUUGUAGGGGGUGUAACGUACCCUCUAGCCAUCAACGCGUACGGGUGUUGGGAGACAUAGCCCGGAGAUGGAUUCUGAGACACGAAUCCAGACCCUACGGGGUGCAGCAGGCGCGAAAACUUGGCAAUGCGAGCAAUCGUGACCAGGGAACUCCAAGUGGCUGGGGUAAUACCCAGUUUUUUCUUGACUCUUCAAAGGUCUUGGAAUAAGGGGUGGGUAAGGACGGUGCCAGCCGCCGCGGUAAUACCGGCGCCUCAAGUGGUAGUCGCUUUUAUUGGGCCUAAAACGUCCGUAGCCGGUCUGGUACAUUCGUGGGUAAAUCAACCCGCUCAACGGGUUGAAUUCUGCGAGCACGGCCAGACUUGGGACCGGGAGAGGUGUGGGGUACUCUCAGGGUAGGGGUAAAAUCCUGUCAUCCUGAGAGGACCACCUGUUGCGAAGGCGCCACACUAGAACGGAUCCGACGGUCAGGGACGAAACCUAGGGGCACGAACCGGAUUAGAUACCCGGGUAGUCCUAGGUGUAAACGCUGUGGACUUGAUGUUGGGGGCGCUCCGAGCGCUUUCAGUGUCGAAGCGAAGGUGAUAAGUCCACUGCCUGGGGAGUACGGUCGCAAGGCUGAAACUUAAAGGAAUUGGCGGGGGAGCACUGCAACCUGAGGAUUGUGCGGUUUAAUUGGAUUCAACGCCGGA